This 447-nucleotide ribosomal RNA is filed under the name uncultured bacterium. Its description in RNAcentral is "bacterial SSU rRNA". It matches the Rfam family "Bacterial small subunit ribosomal RNA", at positions 355 to 825 of the family's 1533-position model. The record is from RNAcentral.
UGGGGAAUAUUGGACAAUGGGCGAAAGCCUGAUCCAGCCAUGCCGCGUGAGUGACGAAGGCCUUAGGGUUGUAAAAUCCUUUCGCCGAGGACGAUAAUGACGGUACUCGGAGAAGAAGCUCCGGCUAACUUCGUGCCAGCAGCCGCGGUAAUACGAAGGGGGCUAGCGUUGUUCGGAUUUACUGGGCGUAAAGCGCGUGUAGGCGGGUCGUUAAGUUGGGGGUGAAAUCCCGAGGCUCAACCUCGGAACUGCCUUCAAAACUGGCGACCUGGACCUAAGUAGAGGCAAGUGGAAUUGCGAGUGUAGAGGUGAAAUUCGUAGAUAUUCGCAGGAACACCAGUGGCGAAGGCGACUUGCUGGACUUAUGGUGACGCUGAGACGCGAAAGCGUGGGGAGCAAACAGGAUUAGAUACCCCUGUAGUCCCUGAGCGGGCUGGCAAGGCGCAU